RNAcentral lists this signal recognition particle RNA (295 nucleotides) under Vombatus ursinus (common wombat). RNAcentral describes it as "Metazoan signal recognition particle RNA (ENSVURG00010008086.1)". It matches the Rfam family "Metazoan signal recognition particle RNA". From Rfam's summary of the family: The signal recognition particle (SRP) is a universally conserved ribonucleoprotein. It is involved in the co-translational targeting of proteins to membranes. Lineage: Eukaryota; Metazoa; Chordata; Mammalia; Diprotodontia; Vombatidae. The record is from Rfam by way of RNAcentral.
GCCAGGUGUGGUGGUAUACACUUCAAUCCCUACUACUUGGAGACUGAAGAUGGUGUAUAGCUUGUUCUCAGGAACUGUGAGCUGCAGUAGGGUAAAAGCUGAUUGGGUUUCUACACUGUUUGGCACCAAUAUGGUGAGUUCCUGGGAGUGGGGGUAGGUGCACCAGGCUGCCGAAGGACAAAUGAAUUGACCCAGGUAAAAAAUGGAGCAGGUUUGUUCUAAUCGGCAGUGGGUUUGAGUCUGUGAGUGACUGCUGUACUCCCAGCCUAAGUGAAACAGAGAGAUCCAAUCUUAA